Clupea harengus (Atlantic herring) is the source of this 203-nucleotide long non-coding RNA. RefSeq lists it as uncharacterized. NCBI's taxonomy places the organism in Eukaryota, Metazoa, Chordata, Actinopteri, Clupeiformes, Clupeidae. The record is from RefSeq and is a predicted model, not a curated record.
AUCAAGAGCUGAGUGUAGCUCUACAACGAGGACCAAAAGGUUUGAUGCAGAUCUGGAUCAUAUGAACCUCUCCCCCAUGAUACGCCACCUUGUGGAGAACAUGACAGAAGAGCAUUGGAUAAUUGUCCGUGAGGCUCUAUGUGUGCCUAGGACCAAAGAAGAAGUUGGCCAUCUUUGUGCUAUCAUAGUGAAGAAAGUAGUCC